Molecule: long non-coding RNA, 237 nt
Filed under: Setaria viridis
Lineage: Eukaryota; Viridiplantae; Streptophyta; Magnoliopsida; Poales; Poaceae
Description: long non-coding RNA (SVIR_LNC003138)
Source: RNAcentral
UGGAAUAGAGAUGAACAAUCUAAUGAAACUAAGUUGACACCAUAAAGUUUCUUGGAAUGACUUAUAAUUUGGUCAAAUUUGAGAUACUUGACUCUCCAAGAUACUUAUAUAGUUCCUUCUGCACCUUAGUUAAUAACUUAAAGACUUUCUUAGCGCUUUCAUUUGGCUCUUCAGUUUGGAUUUCUCCAUGUAUUGCACCACUGAUUAGUGAGGAAACUAAAUCAUUUAUAGACGGAC